This 333-nucleotide long non-coding RNA is filed under the name Medicago truncatula (barrel medic). RNAcentral describes it as "lncRNA gene35880". Lineage: Eukaryota; Viridiplantae; Streptophyta; Magnoliopsida; Fabales; Fabaceae. The record is from RNAcentral.
UUUGGGGGAGUUAAGUGUAAUUAGGAGGGAGUUACUCUUAAGUGGGAAGUUAAGAAAAUAGAAAGUGGGAGUCAGAAACAGUUUUACGUGAAACCAAGCCAAGGAAGAGAAAACCAGGAGCAAGAGAGAAGAACCAGAGGAACCCUUUUUGCUGUGCAUUUUUCAUUCUGAAUUAAGGUGAUCCUGAGUAGUUGGUGGUGGCUCAUUGUCGUGUCUAGGGCUCUGAUACGUGGGAUGGGAACAUUUAUAUUAUUUUAUUGUUGUUUUCCUCCUAUGUAUCAAUUUUUGGAACUUAACGAUGUGGCCCUUUGUUGGUUGACUUUUGUUGUUUAG